AUUGAACGCUGGCGGAAUGCUUUACACAUGCAAGUCGAGCGGCAGCGCGGGGCAACCUGGCGGCGAGCGGCGAACGGGUGAGUAAUGCAUCGGAACGCACCCAAUUGUGGGGGAUAACUAUCCGAAAGGAUAGCUAAUACCGCAUAAGUCCUGAGGGAGAAAGCGGGGGAUCGCAAGACCUCGCGCGAUUGGAGCGGCCGAUGCCGGAUUAGCUAGUUGGUAGGGUAAAGGCCUACCAAGGCGACGAUCCGUAGCUGGUCUGAGAGGAUGAUCAGCCACACUGGAACUGAGACACGGUCCAGACUCCUACGGGAGGCAGCAGUGGGGAAUUUUGGACAAUGGGGGCAACCCUGAUCCAGCCAUUCCGCGUGAGUGAAGAAGGCCUUCGGGUUGUAAAGCUCUUUCGGCAGGAACGAAACGGUUUGGGUUAAUACCCUGAGCUAAUGACGGUACCUGAAGAAGAAGCACCGGCUAACUACGUGCCAGCCGCCGCCGUAA
This 498-nucleotide ribosomal RNA is filed under the name uncultured bacterium. Its description in RNAcentral is "partial 16S ribosomal RNA". It matches the Rfam family "Bacterial small subunit ribosomal RNA", at positions 29 to 523 of the family's 1533-position model. The record is from RNAcentral.